Molecule: transfer RNA, 74 nt
Filed under: Caudoviricetes sp.
Lineage: Duplodnaviria; Heunggongvirae; Uroviricota; Caudoviricetes
Description: tRNA-Arg
Rfam family: tRNA
About the family: Transfer RNA (tRNA) molecules are approximately 80 nucleotides in length. Their secondary structure includes four short double-helical elements and three loops (D, anti-codon, and T loops).
Source: RNAcentral
GCUCCCUUAGCUCAGUUGGAUAGAGCACAGGUUUCCUAAACCUGGUGUCAUUGGUUCAAACCCAAUAGGGAGUA